GUCUGUGCGCUCAACUCUCUCUCUCUCUUUCUCUCACUCUCACUCUCACACAACUCUGCCACUUGUCCAGCCACCAUGAGCACGAGAACCUCCUACUCCAUCCGUCGCUCCAACGUGCCCCUGGCUCAGAGCUCCAUCACCCGCACCUCCAUGGCCCCUGCCUACCGGGCGGCCAGCAUCUACGGGGGUGCGGGGGGCCAGGGCACCCGCAUCUCCUCCUCCUCCUACUCCGGGCUGCGCAGCGGCCUCCCGGCCUCCUCCGGAGGCUUCUCCGUGCACGUGAGUGGCGGCGGAGAGGCCAUGGGCCACAUCAUGGGCAACGAGAAGGGAGCCAUGCAGAACCUGAACGACCGUCUGGCCACCUACCUGGACAAGGUGCGCAGCCUGGAGCAGGCCAACGGCAAGCUGGAGACACAGAUCAGGCAGGCCCUGGAGAAGAGAGGCCCUGAUGUCAACGACUACAGCCGCUUCCAGGUCGUCCUGGACGAGCUUCGCAAGAAGGUGUUUGAUGCCACUGUGGACAACGCCCGCUUGGUUCUCCAGAUUGACAACGCCCGUCUGGCUGCAGAUGACUUCAGAGUGAAGUAUGAGUCUGAGCUGGCCAUUCGCCAGUCUGUGGAGGCAGAUAUUGUUGGCCUGAGGAAGGUCAUCGAUGACACCAACCUCAACCGCAUGAACCUUGAGAGUGAGAUUGAGUCUCUGAAGGAGGAGUUGAUCUUCCUGAAGAAGAACCAUGACAAUGAAGUCAAUGAACUGCGUAACCAGAUCGCGCAGUCUGGCGUCCAGGUAGAUGUGGAUGCGCCAAAGGGUCAAGAUCUCGCUCAAAUUAUGGAGGAGAUGAGGUCAAAAUACGAGAAGAUGGCGCAAAAGAAUCAGGAUGAGCUCAAGAAAUGGCACGAAUCACAGAUCUCAGAAAUCCAGGUUCAGAUGACGCAGAGCACAGAGGCCCUGCAGGGCGCCAAAACAGAGUCCACCGACCUCCGCAGACAGCUCCAGACGCUCGAGAUCGAGCUGGAGUCACAGAAAAGCUUGAAAGGGUCGCUGGAGGGCACCCUGCGUGACACGGAGAUGCGCUACAACAUGGAGAUGGAGAGCCUGAACGAUAUCCUCCGGGGCCUGGAGUCCGAGCUGAUGCAGCUGCGCAACAACAUCCAGCAGCAGACGCACGAGUACGAGGCCCUGCUCAACAUCAAGAUGAAGCUGGAGGCUGAGAUCGCCACCUACAAGCGCCUCCUGGACGGAGAGGACUUCAAGUAAGUGGCACAGAGAAAAAAUCAUCUUUACAAUGCCAUUUAUUGGAUCUACAAGAGACUUCAAGAUGCCGUGGAAGACCCGAAAUCACUGAAGACAAAAGUCACAACAAUCACACAGACACUGGUGGAUGGCAAAAUUGUGUCCUCAAGUACAGACACCAAGGAGAGGCAGUACUGAUCCUCCUCCUUUCACCUUCACCUUACCAAUGCAACACUAACACCUCAAGGUCCACUUUUAACAAGAAGAUUUUAUAACUUAUUGUGCCCUUGUUGCUCUUACCAACCCCAUUCAGUAGUAAGGCAAAUCGUUCCUAUCAUUCUUGCCUUAAGGCGACAAGGUAUACAGACAUGGAAAAUUUAAUUUAAGGUGUAAUGACAUUAUCUGAUUUGUUUGAGAAAAUGUUUUUUGGAGCAAUGGUGGUUUAUUUUUGUACCUCUGACUUGUGGCAUUGUUUUGGCCUUUUUUCACCAGUGUUUGGAUGUUGUGUUGUACUUGAUCAGACAGUUCCUAUUAAAAACAAAAGCAUCUUAAAA
RNA transcript from Sardina pilchardus (European sardine), 1787 nucleotides. It is a transcript of the gene named keratin, type I cytoskeletal 18-like, with no coding region annotated. The transcript has 7 exons. The record is from RefSeq and is a predicted model, not a curated record. NCBI's taxonomy places the organism in Eukaryota, Metazoa, Chordata, Actinopteri, Clupeiformes, Clupeidae.